CCUGAUAGCAAAGUUUUGCUAAGGUACUCUAACUCCUUGUGUAGUUCUUACUCUCGCGUUUGACCUUAAUCACGAGAAUAUAAAAUAAGACAUUGUCUCGAGGAAAAUUCUUAAUUAAUGAGAAAGCGUAAUUUAACUAUGCAUGAAUCUGGUAUGCAUGAACUAAUACUCUGAGCGAUAAUCGGGAAUUUUACUAUUAAUCCUCGUUAAUAGAUUUAGCUAAUUCUCGUCUAGCGCGGUCGAAUAAAACUGUGAUUCUUCCUUCCUCAUCGGAAUAUUCUAGUCGUGAAAUAAACCUCGCAUUUGUACUUGAUUGAAAAAGGACUAACUCGGCUUUAAACGAGGUGUGACCUUGUAGAAAUUAUCGGGCUUUUCGAUAGAAGCAUCAUUACUAGCGUAACCUCAAAUAAUUAAUAGGCUCAAAAGAGAGUAGCCAAUUAAUUAAAUAAACUAGUGGCUUAAAUGAAAUAAACAAUAAUGGCUUGCUUUAAAGUCGGAAGUCCAAAAACAUUAAUUAAUAAACUGGGCGGCUCAUUACUGAUAAAUAAUUGGGCUCCAUCAAAAAUUGAUACUGCUAGGCUUAGCUCAAAGGAGUAACUUCAGCUCAAGCUUUAAAAAAAUUAAAGCCCAACUUAAAAAGUCUUCGACCCAAAACAAUUAAAAUAGGGGUCCAAAUAAUAAUUAAUGUGGACUGAAAAGAAUUAAUCUUAGCCCAAAAAGGCAAUUUAAUCGGCCAAAAUGAUGAAUUAAACUGGCCCAACGAAAUAUAAAUGGGACUAGAAUAAUAGCCCAUCAUAAAAUAUGCAUAAGCCCAACUCCUUAAAUAAAUCAAGCCCAAUAGAAUUAAUGAGAAGGGCCAAUUAAAUAAAAGACUGGCCCAGUUCGAAUUUAAAUGAAAGCUCAAUCAAUUAAAUUGGAAGCUCAAUUCCUUUAGAAUAAAACAAACCCAAGCUCAAAUAAUUCAGCCCAAAUAAUAUAGAUAAAGGCCCAAUUCGAAUUUAGAUGUGAAGCCCAAGUCAUUAAAAAUAACAUCAAGCCCAGCUUAAAAUAAUUCGGCCCACAAUAAAUUAAAAGGAAAAGCCCAAUUUCCUUAAAAUAAACAAGCUCAAAUUCGGCCCAAACAAUAACUCAAGCCCAAUUCCUUCUCUAUCCACUCUCGUCCUCUCUCUCUUCAGGAGCCGCUCUCUCUCUCUUUCUUCUCUCAAAUUAUCGGCCCUGUUCUCUUUCUCUCUCUCUCGCUCAAAAUCCAAUCGAGCUCUCUCUCUCUCUCGAUUCACGGCUGCCUCGUGAGCUCCGCCGCUGCUCCUGCUGUGAAUCCGACAGUCGGCCGUCGGUUCCGGUCUCUCUCCCUCACGCUGAAGUUCCGCCGCCGCCUUGUGAAGGCCGGCGAGCGGCGCUGCUUCACUCCCUCUCUCACUUCACAUCUCUCAAGGAAAUUCUCGCCUGUUCUUCGAUCUGCUGUCGCCGCUGUCGCUUCUCCGAAAUCGGCGAGUGGAGGGGAAAGCUUGCUGUCGCACCUCCGUCUGGGAUCCGGCGAUUCAAACGGCGCCGGUCGUCGUCUGGGAGUGGCUGCUGCUUCGCCUGGAGUCGCCGCCGACUGCUGCUGUUUCGCCGGAGUCGCCGCCUUUCUUCUCCGUUCCGGCAGUAGGUGGUUCGCUGCCCCUUGGGCAGCCGGCCCCUCCCUUACUAAAAGCUAAGUUCCACUCUUCUAUUCUUCUCUAGUUCUAGUUGUUAAGGAGGGAGAUUCUCAAGCUUGUUGCUCUAGAGUGCAGUAAGGUGAAAAGCAUGAGUUUUUCUAUUGUUAUUCAUGUCAUGUGAAAUAUGAUUAUGCCUCUGAUAUGAAUGCGAACUGAAAGAUUAUUUGGGAUUAUGAAUUACCUCAAAUGUUUGAAUUGAUUGCUUGUUGUUGGAGGUUGAACGUAUUGUACAAUAACUGAAAUGAAUUGAAACUGCCAUUGCUUAACUAAUGAAGGAGACUUUGGCAGUAGUGGUAGAUUUAAGAAUAAACUCACCUUGAAGUUGCUUUGUUUGAUUGUUGAACUGAUUGCUAAAGCUGAAUAAUUGUAACUGGGAAGAUUACUGAAAUGAACGAUGGUUCUCGUUUAAUGCAGGUAAACUUCUCAAAGAAAAUGAAAUGAUUAGUUUUGUUGGCUGAAUUUAAAAAGCCAUGGAGGUGGUGGUUGGCUGUAAAGUUUAAAGGAAAGUGAGAUAGUGGUGGUGGUUGGCU
RNAcentral lists this long non-coding RNA (2227 nucleotides) under Salvia miltiorrhiza (redroot sage). Its description in RNAcentral is "long non-coding RNA (SMIL_LNC000082)". Lineage: Eukaryota; Viridiplantae; Streptophyta; Magnoliopsida; Lamiales; Lamiaceae. The record is from RNAcentral.